CGACGUGGGGAACCUGCCCUAUACAGGGGAGUAACAGCUGGAAACGGUUGCUAAUACCGCAUAAGCGCACAGAAUCGCAUGAUUCAGUGUGAAAAGCCCUGGCAGUAUAGGAUGGUCCCGCGUCUGAUUAGCUGGUUGGUGAGGUAACGGCUCACCAAGGCGACGAUCAGUAGCCGGCUUGAGAGAGUGAACGGCCACAUUGGGACUGAGACACGGCCCAA
This 221-nucleotide ribosomal RNA is filed under the name uncultured bacterium. RNAcentral's name for it is "partial 16S ribosomal RNA". It matches the Rfam family "Bacterial small subunit ribosomal RNA", at positions 113 to 334 of the family's 1533-position model. The record is from RNAcentral.